GGAGAGAUGUCUGAGUGGUUUAAGGUACUGGUCUUGAAAACCAGCGUAACGUUUGUUACCGAGGGUUCAAAUCCCUCUCUCUCCA
RNAcentral lists this transfer RNA (85 nucleotides) under Phacus inflexus. RNAcentral's name for it is "tRNA-Ser". It matches the Rfam family "tRNA". Rfam says of the family: Transfer RNA (tRNA) molecules are approximately 80 nucleotides in length. Their secondary structure includes four short double-helical elements and three loops (D, anti-codon, and T loops). Lineage: Eukaryota; Euglenozoa; Euglenophyceae; Euglenales; Phacaceae. The record is from RNAcentral.